UGGGGAAUUUUCCGCAAUGGGCGAAAGCCUGAUGGAGCAAUACCGCGUGGAGGAAGAAGGAUCGUGGUCCGUAAACUCCUUUUCUUAAGGAAGAAACAAUGACGGUACUUAAGGAAUAAGCACCGGCUAACUCUGUGCCAGCAGCCGCGGUAAUACAGGGGGUGCAAGCGUUGUCCGGAAUGAUUGGGCGUAAAGCAUCUGUAGGUGGUUUUUAAAGUCGACUGUUAAAUCCCAGAGCUCAACUUUGGUAGGGCAGACGAGCACUUAGAAACUUGAGUACGGUAGGGGUAGAGGGAAUUCUUAGUGGAGCGGUGAAAUGCACAGAGAUUAGGAAGAACACCAGUGGCGAAAGCGCUCUACUGGGCCGUGACUGACACUGAGAGAUGAAAGUUGGGGGAGCGAAAGGGAUUAGAUACCCCUGUAGU
Molecule: ribosomal RNA, 425 nt
Filed under: uncultured Nostocales cyanobacterium
Lineage: Bacteria; Bacillati; Cyanobacteriota; Cyanophyceae; Nostocales
Description: bacterial SSU rRNA
Rfam family: Bacterial small subunit ribosomal RNA
Source: RNAcentral